Long non-coding RNA from Pezoporus occidentalis (night parrot), 884 nucleotides. RefSeq lists it as uncharacterized. The transcript is spliced from 3 exons. NCBI's taxonomy places the organism in Eukaryota, Metazoa, Chordata, Aves, Psittaciformes, Psittacidae. The record is from RefSeq and is a predicted model, not a curated record.
AGACAUAGCAUGAUGUGAAUUUGUGAUGCACUUUAACUUAGCAACUGCUCCUCAUGAGGAUUUACACAGCAUCUCAGCUCCUGCAUGCAUGCCUGUACAUUUUCAGGAAGACUGUAAUGUGUUUUUCACUGCAAAUGGAUUGCCUGGGAUAAAUACAUGACUCUUAUUUUGUAGGCACAGAAGUUCAAUAACAGUCUCUACAGAAUCUCUCCAUAAAAUAUGACAAUAAAUAACAGUUUAACCUCUAAUCUAUAUUAACAGGCUACCUUUAUUUAUUGUUUGAAGUCUGUAAAGAUAAAGACAGGUAAUCCAAAAGGAGCAGUCACAAUACGAGCUAAUGACCUUCUUUUACAAGAAUGUAGAUACCACUGGGCAAAAACCAUUUCAGCUUCAGCAUCAUGCAAAGUGCUAUUUUGCAAAGAAACACUGUGUGUUAGUUGUUGAAACUUUUUUGUGCAUUCCCCGAAACAAAUUACACUAUUCUGCAUAUUUUCUUUCCUGUGCAGUAAAUAAAGUCUUCCAUGUUGACAAUGCUAAUAUUAUAUUUUUAAAUAUACUUGCAUUUGUUUUUUUGUCAUUUUUUAUUGCAUUGUAUAAAUCCCAGAGCAGAGAUCCACUAAGCCCACUUUGAGAAAGCCCCGUUUCUUGGGAUAGCACCAUGCAGUGACACAGUCUUGUGGACUAUCAGUUCAAAUGAGUUCUUUCUAAACCUGCAACUACCAAUAUCAGGAGCUAUUUGCAGGCUGCAGUGAUUCAGUUACCUCUGUGCUGACCAAAGGGUCUCUGCCUAGGUGUCACCACCUAGAACCUCACAAGAAAUGCUGUUGAUACAACGGAAAAUGAAUCCAGCACCCUAAUUCUUAGCUGAAUCUUCUAAAAGCAAG